This 1325-nucleotide ribosomal RNA is filed under the name metagenome. Its description in RNAcentral is "bacterial LSU rRNA". It matches the Rfam family "Bacterial large subunit ribosomal RNA", at positions 1561 to 2925 of the family's 2925-position model. The record is from RNAcentral.
AGUGGAUGGGGAGCAACCUAGUUGUGCGUGUGUAAAGGUAGUGCCAAGAAAAGCGAUGAUCAUGUUGAAAAUCAAUUCCCGGUACCCGAAACCGACACAGGUGGGCAAGUAGAGAAUACUAAGGGGCGCGAGGUAACUCUCUCCAAGGAACUCGGCAAAAUGACCCCGUAACUUAGGGAGAAGGGGUGCCACCGAGAGGUGGUCGCAGUGAAGAGGCCCAGGCGACUGUUUAGCAAAAACAUAGGUCUCUGCAAACUCGAAAGAGGAGGUAUAGGGGCUGACGCCUGCCCAGUGCCAAAGGUUAAAGAAGUUGGUCAGUUUUAGGAUGAAGCUAGCGACUGAAGCCCCGGUGAACGGCGGCCGUAACUAUAACGGUCCUAAGGUAGCGAAAUUCCUUGUCGGGUAAGUUCCGACCCGCACGAAAGGCGUAACGAUCUGGGCGCUGUCUCGGAGGGAGGCUCGGCGAAAUAGGAUUGUCUGUGAAGAUACGGACUACCUGCAUUUGGACAGAAAGACCCUAUGAAGCUUUACUAUAGCUUGGAAUUGUGUUCGGGCUUCCUGUGCGCAGGAUAGGUGGGAGGCGUAGAAGGUAUUCUUGUGGGGAUACUGGAGCCAACGGUGAGAUACCACUCUCAGGAGGCUAGAAUUCUAACUUAAUUAAGGACAGUUUCAGGUGGGUAGUUUGACUGGGGCGGUCGCCUCCAAAAAGGUAACGGAGGCGUACAAAGGUUCCCUCAGACUGGUUGGAAAUCAGUCGAAGAGUGCAAAGGCAGAAGGGAGCUUGACUGCGAGAAGUACAGUUCGAGCAGGGUGGAAACACGGUCUUAGUGAUCCGACGGUGCUGUGUGGAAGGGCCGUCGCUCAACGGAUAAAAGUUACUCUAAGGAUAACAGGCUGAUCUCCCCCAAGAGUUCACAUCGACGGGGAGGUUUGGCACCUCGAUGUCGGCUCAUCGCAACCUGGGGCGGAAGUACGUCCCAAGGGUUGGGCUGUUCGCCCAUUAAAGCGGUACGUGAGCUGGGUUCAGAACGUCGUGAGACAGUUCGGUCCAUAUCCGAUGUAGGCGUGAGAAUAUUGAGAGGAGCCUUCCUUAGUACGAGAGGACCGGGAAGGACGCACCGCUGGUGUACCUGUUAUGAUGCCAAUUGUAAACGCAGGGUAGCCAAGUGCGGAGAGGAUAACCGCUGAAAGCAUCUAAGUGGGAAGCCCACCUCAAGAUGAGUAUUCUGGUGUAAGGUCACGGGAAGACGACCCGUAAAUAGGCACGAGGUGGAAGUGCAGAGAUGUAUGAAGCCGAAGUGUACUAAUAGACCGUCGGCUUGACC